This 448-nucleotide ribosomal RNA is filed under the name uncultured bacterium. RNAcentral's name for it is "bacterial SSU rRNA". It matches the Rfam family "Bacterial small subunit ribosomal RNA", at positions 29 to 521 of the family's 1533-position model. The record is from RNAcentral.
AACGAACGCUGGCGGCAUGCCUAACACAUGCAAGUCGAACGAAGGCUUCGGCCUUAGUGGCGCACGGGUGCGUAACGCGUGGGAACCUGCCCCUCGGUUCGGAAUAACAGUUAGAAAUGACUGCUAAUACCGGAUGAUGACCUCGGUCCAAAGAUUUAUCGCCGAGGGAUGGGCCCGCGUAGGAUUAGCUAGUUGGUGGGGUAAAGGCCUACCAAGGCGACGAUCCUUAGCUGGUCUGAGAGGAUGAUCAGCCACACUGGGACUGAGACACGGCCCAGACUCCUACGGGAGGCAGCAGUGGGGAAUAUUGGACAAUGGGCGAAAGCCUGAUCCAGCAAUGCCGCGUGAGUGAUGAAGGCCUUAGGGUUGUAAAGCUCUUUUUACCAGGGAGUGAUAAUGACAGUACCUGGAGAAUAAGCUCCGGCUAACUCCGUGCCAGCAGCCCGGU